GACGAACGCUGGCGGCGUGCUUAACACAUGCAAGUCGAACGGAAAGGCCCUGCUUUUGUGGGGUGCUCGAGUGGCGAACGGGUGAGUAACACGUGAGUAACCUGCCCUUGACUUUGGGAUAACUUCAGGAAACUGGGGCUAAUACCGGAUAGGAGCUCCUGCUGCAUGGUGGGGGUUGGAAAGUUUCGGCGGUUGGGGAUGGACUCGCGGCUUAUCAGCUUGUUGGUGGGGUAGUGGCUUACCAAGGCUUUGACAGGUAGCCGGCCUGAGAGGGUGACCUGCCACAUUGGGACUGAGAUACGACCCAGACUCCUACGGGAGGCAGCAGUGGGGAAUAGUGCACAAUGGGCGGAAGCCUGAUGCAGCAACGCCGCGUGCGGGAUGACGGCCUUCGGGUUGUAAACCGCUUUCGCCUGUGACGAAGCGUGAGUGACGGUAAUGGGUAAAGAAGCACCGGCUAACUACGUG
Molecule: ribosomal RNA, 468 nt
Filed under: uncultured bacterium
Lineage: Bacteria
Description: partial 16S ribosomal RNA
Rfam family: Bacterial small subunit ribosomal RNA
Source: RNAcentral